This is a microRNA precursor of Oreochromis aureus, 55 nucleotides long. The record is from Ensembl. Lineage: Eukaryota; Metazoa; Chordata; Actinopteri; Cichliformes; Cichlidae.
AUCCAGACUGACAUCUCCUCACAAAGCUUCAAGUUCGGAGACGUCGUCUGAACGU